UAUCCUGGGGAAAAAAUAGAUCCCUAGGAACAGUACACUACUAUUCUAAUAGGAUAAGCCUAAUUUCCAUCAGAGUUUUCUGUAAUUGUCUAAGCCUAAGAGCAAUAGUAACUUGCUCAUACUGAAGCUGUUCUAAAAGUGAUGUGCUCCAUUGAAAGAAGAGUUCAUCGUAUAGCCAAAGGUUUCAUGAGGACGACAAUUCUAGUUUUAAUUCAGGAGAACUUGGGAGGUGGGUACUACAUUUAAUCAUUUGGGAGGUGGUACUUGGGAGGCGGUACUACAGUUAAUCAUUACAAAGAUGCCAGUAUUUCAAAUACCUAAUACCAGAAUCUCUCUAGUAUUAUUGGUGCAUUCUUAUUCUGCUGUUCUUUCAUUCUAGUUUGGAAACGGCAUCAAACUUGGAUGUCCAUCCAAGCAGAGUAUCUGCCUCAGUACUUAAAAUGCAAAUGCUGUGGAAUAGUGUCAUUAGCAAGCAACUAUCAGCUCAAGAUAAAACACUCAAAUGCUCAAAUGAAAGUUGUAAGUAGUUUAUCUCCAUCAGCCUACUAGAAUUCUCUUAAUAACCUUCUUACCGUGUCUUCUGGAUUCUCAUGGCUACUGAACAAGUUCUACAACAGUCAAAUAAUAUUAAAACACUAAAAGUGCUUAAAUCUCUGAAUGACCAUUUGAUAUUAUUUGAAUCUUAUAACCACUUUUCUUAGAUAAUAUCUUCUGAUAAUAUAAAAGCUCUAAGCAUUUUGAAAGCUCACCUUCCUUCCCUUUGCAUGUAAAAGAAGAUCAAAACAUACUACUUAAUAGGGUAAAACCUUAAAUAAUGGAAAGUUGCUCCUCUCAUUAAUAGACCAGAAAUUGCAGUAGACUUGGAGGGGAGUACGCUGAGUUUUGUAGGUGUUGUUAGUAAGAUCCUCCACGCUUCAGUGAUAGGAAGGAAAGGCUGAUUUGGAGCCAUUCCAAGUAGUUUCAUGUCAAAAGAGAAUCUAUUCCCUAUUUUCAUCAUUAGCAGAAACAUUCCUAUUCAGAUAUUUUAAGAUUUCAGAUGGACUCAGAGCUUUCCAACCAUUUUUCUAGAAAUGUCUUAAAAUUCUAUUUCAUCUUUUGGUGGCACACUGGAAUAACAGAAUUAACAAGAUAAAACUGAAUCAUAGAGAAACCGGAGGCAAUGUACUGCCCAAUGGUUUAGGGUCAAGCGUUUUAUAUUGAUAAACUGUCUGAACUGUUUUUCCCCAUUUUCAGGAUCAGAACGGCGUUGCAAAACACUUUUUUCACACUGAAUUUUUAAGACACAACUUUAAUUUUGUAGUGUACUUCUAUAUUAUUUAGGUAACAAGGACAGAAAUAGAAAAAGCAGCAUUAUGUCUGGUAUAAACAUUGCAAGGGUGCCUCUUUGUUCAGAUUAUUAGGACUUUGGCAAAGCAACAGGACAAGAAUUUCAGAAGAAAAGAAGGAACCUUAAGAAGGAACUGGACUUAUACAGAGUCUGAGUUAAUUCAUCAAAUCCUGCAUUGCUUGCAACCAGUCACCUUCAUGAAUUAGAAAAAUGUUCCUUAUU
Molecule: long non-coding RNA, 1549 nt
Filed under: Anas platyrhynchos platyrhynchos (common mallard)
Lineage: Eukaryota; Metazoa; Chordata; Aves; Anseriformes; Anatidae
Description: lncRNA (ENSAPLG00000027186.1)
Source: RNAcentral